CCUACGGGCGGCAGCAGUGGGGAAUAUUGGGCAAUGGAGGCAACUCUGACCCAGCAACGCCGCGUGAAUGAUGAAGGUCUUCGGAUUGUAAAGUUCUGUGAUGGGGGAUGAACACCAUGACGGUACCCUAAUAGCAAGCCACGGCUAACUACGUGCCAGCAGCCGCGGUACUACGUAGGUUGCAAGCGUUAUCCGGAAUGACUGGGCGUAAAGGGUGCGUAGGGGGUUUAGUAAGUUGGCGGUGUAAUUCCGGGGCUCAACCUCGGCGCUACCGCCAAAACUAUUAGACUAGAGUGCAGGAGGGGUAAGUGGAAUUCCUAGUGUAGCGGUGGAAUGCGUAGAUAUUAGGAGGAACAUCAGGGGCGAAGGCGACUUACUGGACUGUAACUGACACUGAGGCACGAAAGCGUGGGGAGCAAACAGGAUUAGAUACCCCUGUAGUC
Molecule: ribosomal RNA, 443 nt
Filed under: uncultured bacterium
Lineage: Bacteria
Description: partial 16S ribosomal RNA
Rfam family: Bacterial small subunit ribosomal RNA
Source: RNAcentral